UACGGAGGGUGCGAGCGUUAAUCGGAAUAACUGGGCGUAAAGCGCACGCAGGCGGUCUGUCAAGUCGGAUGUGAAAUCCCCGGGCUCAACCCGGGAACUGCAUCUGAUACUGGCAAGCUUGAGUCUCGUAGAGGGGGGUAGAAUUCCAGGUGUAGCAGUGAAAUGCGUAGAGAUCUGGAGGAAUACCGAAGGCGAAGGCAGCCCCUUGGGAAGAUACUGACGCUCAUGUGCGAAAGCGUGGGGAGCAAACAGG
RNAcentral lists this ribosomal RNA (253 nucleotides) under uncultured bacterium. RNAcentral describes it as "partial 16S ribosomal RNA". It matches the Rfam family "Bacterial small subunit ribosomal RNA", at positions 524 to 776 of the family's 1533-position model. The record is from RNAcentral.